CCUACGGGGGGCAGCAGUGGGGAAUAUUGGACAAUGGGGGCAACCCUGAUCCAGCCAUGCCGCGUGUGUGAAGAAGGCCCUCGGGUUGUAAAGCACUUUCAGUGAGGAAGAACGCCUGGUGGUUAAUACCCAUCAGGAAAGACAUCACUCACAGAAGAAGCACCGGCUAACUCCGUGCCAGCAGCCGCGGUAAUACGGAGGGUGCGAGCGUUAAUCGGAAUUACUGGGCGUAAAGCGCGCGUAGGUGGCUUGAUAAGCCGGUUGUGAAAGCCCCGGGCUCAACCUGGGAACGGCAUCCGGAACUGUCAAGCUAGAGUGCAGGAGAGGAAGGUAGAAUUCCCGGUGUAGCGGUGAAAUGCGUAGAGAUCGGGAGGAAUACCAGUGGCGAAGGCGGCCUUCUGGACUGACACUGACGCUGAGGUGCGUAAGCGUGGGUAGCAAACAGGAUUAGAUACCCUGGUAGUC
This 465-nucleotide ribosomal RNA is filed under the name Vreelandella stevensii. Its description in RNAcentral is "partial 16S ribosomal RNA". It matches the Rfam family "Bacterial small subunit ribosomal RNA", at positions 338 to 795 of the family's 1533-position model. Lineage: Bacteria; Pseudomonadati; Pseudomonadota; Gammaproteobacteria; Oceanospirillales; Halomonadaceae. The record is from RNAcentral.